This 482-nucleotide ribosomal RNA is filed under the name Charybdis lucifera. RNAcentral describes it as "partial 12S ribosomal RNA". Lineage: Eukaryota; Metazoa; Arthropoda; Malacostraca; Decapoda; Portunidae. The record is from RNAcentral.
AGAAAAAAAUUUUAUUUAUGGCCUAAGUAGUAAUAGUUAUGUUCUCAAAAUUUGAAAAAUUUGGCGGUGAUUUAGUCUAGUCAGAGGAACCUGUUUUUGAAUCGAUAAACCACGAAUAAUCUUGCUCGAAUUUGUAGAGUAUGUAUACCAUCAUUAUUAGGUAAUUUUUAUAGAACUAAUUGCUGAAAUUUUUAAUAAUGUUAAAUAUAUUAGAUCAAGGUGCAGCUUAUGUUUGAGUUAAAAUGGGUUACAAUAAGAUUUAUUUAUUACGGAUAGGUAAUUUAAAUAUUAUUUGGAAGGAGGAUUUGAUUGUAAAAUAAGUUUAACAUGCUUAUUAGAUAUAAGCUCUAAAUCAUGUACACACCGCCCGUCACCCUACAAACUAGUCUAGUGGGGGUAGCCAGUUUUGCGGGUGCGAGCGAGUUUUUGUGGGGUGCAGGGAUCCAGGAAGGGGUCCGGGGGGACGAGACGAUCUCCGCGCC